GCAAGUCGAGCGAUAACGGUCUUCGGACUUAUUAAAGCGGCGGACGGGUGAGUAACGCGUGGGAAUCUACCAAGUAGUGGGGGACAACAGUUGGAAACGACUGCUAAUACCGCAUACGCCCUAAGGGGGAAAGCAGGGAUCCGUUCUUUUCGGAGAAGGGACCUUGCGCUAUUUGAUGAGCCCGCGUUAGAUUAGCUAGUUGGUGGGGUAAAGGCCCACCAAGGCGACGAUCUAUAGCUGGUCUGAGAGGAUGAUC
This 256-nucleotide ribosomal RNA is filed under the name uncultured bacterium. Its description in RNAcentral is "partial 16S ribosomal RNA". It matches the Rfam family "Bacterial small subunit ribosomal RNA", at positions 57 to 305 of the family's 1533-position model. The record is from RNAcentral.